AUAAACGGGCAUUUUCUUUGAAGAAAUUAUAUUUGCUAAAGACUUUGUCUCUGAUCACAAAUCCGCAAGCUUAAAUGUAAUUAGCCAUUUUAGAUCAAAACAGCAUGCUUAGGAAUUGGAAACAUCACCAAAAAGCACAACAAUUCUGUGUUUUAAUCGGCCAAAGUCUUGUGCUCUGUAUUGAUUCUACUGUUGAUUGCAAACACAAGACAUUUGACUGUUGAUUCUACCUCCUCUGCCCAUCGGAUUAGGUAGUAAAUUAUUCCUGCAUUCGUGUCAAAACCAAUGCACGGCCGGUGAGCUGCCUUGCAAAAUGAUUUCUUCACCGUGUUCUUUCGUCUCUCGUAGCUAUUUGGCUGACCAGGAAGACACAUAGGAGCCCAAAAGACAUCAUCGAUAACUUCGUUCACAUCCUCUGCUUUUUCAAGGAUGCUUGUGAUCAGCUAAUCUUGGAUGUAAAACUCAGAUAACAGUAACUCUUUGCCACAGUUUCUGCAAAAUUGAGCGUCAAAUUAAUGUAUAUGCGUGUUUGUCUCUUAGCUUGAGAAGCCAUUUACCAAAAAGAAAAAACUUGAGAGAAGUCGAAAAUUGAAACUCCAUUGAUGACAUUCUCCUCGGAGGUUGAACCCAGGAACUAAAAACUUGUAUGGUCCCUCCCAACUCUGUAGAUUGAGAGAGUUUGCAAUAAUUUUCAAGGAUCCAAGAAGAUCCAC
This 713-nucleotide long non-coding RNA is filed under the name Populus tremula. RNAcentral describes it as "long non-coding RNA (PTRE_LNC002140)". Lineage: Eukaryota; Viridiplantae; Streptophyta; Magnoliopsida; Malpighiales; Salicaceae. The record is from RNAcentral.